RNAcentral lists this ribosomal RNA (491 nucleotides) under uncultured Propionibacterium sp. RNAcentral's name for it is "bacterial SSU rRNA". It matches the Rfam family "Bacterial small subunit ribosomal RNA", at positions 1 to 507 of the family's 1533-position model. Lineage: Bacteria; Bacillati; Actinomycetota; Actinomycetes; Propionibacteriales; Propionibacteriaceae. The record is from RNAcentral.
AGAGUUUUCGAUCCUGGCGUACAGGACGAACGCUGGCGGCGUGCUUAACACAUGCAAGUCGAACGGAAAGGCCCUGCUUUUGUGGGUGCUCGAGUGGCGAACGGGUGAGUAACACGUGAGUAACCUGCCCUUGACUUUGGGAUAACUUCAGGAAACUGGGGCUAAUACCGGAUAGGAGCUCCUGCUGCAUGGUGGGGGUUGGAAAGUUUCGGCGGUUGGGGAUGGACUCGCGGCUUAUCAGCUUGUUGGUGGGGUAGUGGCUUACCAAGGCUUUGACGGGUAGCCGGCCUGAGAGGGUGACCGGCCACAUUGGGACUGAGAUACGGCCCAGACUCCUACGGGAGGCAGCAGUGGGGAAUAUUGCACAAUGGGCGGAAGCCUGAUGUAGCAACGCCGCGUGCGGGAUGACGGCCUUCGGGUUGUAAACCGCUUUCGCCUGUGACGAAGCGUGAGUGACGGUAAUGGGUAAAGAAGCACCGGCUAACUACGUG